RNAcentral lists this ribosomal RNA (407 nucleotides) under uncultured bacterium. RNAcentral's name for it is "bacterial SSU rRNA". It matches the Rfam family "Bacterial small subunit ribosomal RNA", at positions 355 to 776 of the family's 1533-position model. The record is from RNAcentral.
UGGGGAAUAUUGCGCAAUGGGGGAAACCCUGACGCAGCAACGCCGCGUGAAGGAUGAAGGUUUUCGGAUUGUAAACUUCUUUGACGAGGGACGAACAAAAUGACGGUACCUCGAAAACAAGCUCCGGCUAACUACGUGCCAGCAGCCGCGGUAAUACGUAGGGAGCAAGCGUUGUCCGGAUUUACUGGGUGUAAAGGGCGAGUAGGCGGGAUUGCAAGUCAGAUGUGAAAACUAUCGGCUUAACUGAUAGACUGCAUUUGAAACUGUGAUUCUUGAGUGAUGGAGAGGCAGGCGGAAUUCCUAGUGUAGCGGUGAAAUGCGUAGAUAUUAGGAGGAACACCAGUGGCGAAGGCGGCCUGCUGGACAUUAACUGACGCUGAGGCGCGAAAGCGUGGGGAGCAAACAGG